GUGGGGAAUAUUGCACAAUGGGGGAAACCCUGAUGCAGCGACGCCGCGUGAGUGAAGAAGUAUUUCGGUACGUAAAGCUCUAUCAGCAAGGAAGAAAAUGACGGUACUUGACUAAGAAGCCCCGGCUAACUACGUGCCAGCAGCCGCGGUAAUACGUAGGGGGCAAGCGUUAUCCGGAUUUACUGGGUGUAAAGGGAGCGUAGACGGUAUGGUAAGUCAGAUGUGAAAGCCCGGGGCUCAACCCCGGGACUGCAUUUGAAACUAUCAGACUGGAGUGCAGGAGAGGUAAGUGGAAUUCCUAGUGUAGCGGUGAAAUGCGUAGAUAUUAGGAGGAACACCAGUGGCGAAGGCGGCUUACUGGACUGUAACUGACGUUGAGGCUCGAAAGCGUGGGGAGCAAACAGGAUUAGAUACCCUUGUAGUCC
Molecule: ribosomal RNA, 425 nt
Filed under: uncultured bacterium
Lineage: Bacteria
Description: partial 16S ribosomal RNA
Rfam family: Bacterial small subunit ribosomal RNA
Source: RNAcentral